CAAACCCUGCCUUUCUCGAUAAUCAGCAACUUAAAUAACCCAACACUUUUAUCUUCGGGAAUCAGGCUCCGAGUGCAGAUUGCAGACCUCCCGUUCAAACGGAAGAAGGGAGCGAGAAACACACGGGAUGAUACCCACCUGCUUUGACGCAGGUUAUUAUCAGUACUGACGGCUGGGCGGGGAUAUA
RNAcentral lists this non-coding RNA (187 nucleotides) under Escherichia coli. Its description in RNAcentral is "6S RNA". It matches the Rfam family "6S / SsrS RNA". Rfam says of the family: E. coli 6S RNA was the first non coding RNA to be sequenced, but its function was unknown until recently. It consists of 184 nucleotides that fold into an extended hairpin structure with a large single-stranded internal bulge. The 6S RNA specifically associates with RNA polymerase holoenzyme containing the sigma70 specificity factor. Lineage: Bacteria; Pseudomonadati; Pseudomonadota; Gammaproteobacteria; Enterobacterales; Enterobacteriaceae. RNAcentral also lists the same sequence under 1 other name. The record is from RNAcentral.